This is a long non-coding RNA of Rosa chinensis, 1652 nucleotides long. RefSeq lists it as uncharacterized. Lineage: Eukaryota; Viridiplantae; Streptophyta; Magnoliopsida; Rosales; Rosaceae. The transcript is spliced from 5 exons. The record is from RefSeq and is a predicted model, not a curated record.
GAUGAGCUUAGGCACCAUAAACCCACACCAGUUGAUGAAGCUGGGGCAGGUUUGAACAUUGUGGAGCAGUCCCUUUGGAAAGCUGUACCUCAUUAUUUAUGUCAUGUCAACAAUGCUUUAAAGAAGAUUUGUCUUCAAAUUCGUUUCUAGUAUUGAUCUGUUUCCAGUUCUUUAUAUGUAGCUACUACCUUCUGUCUUUCUGUACUUCUUGUCAUAAUGUUUUCUUAAUUUAUUUAUCAGCACACUGGGAAACUGGAAAACCACUUCCAUUGAAAUGCACACCAAUCAGGUUUGGCUCUUGGAUGGGGGGUGGUCGAGAUGGAAAUCCCAAUGUCACAGCAAACUGAGCAAAGGUCACAAAAGAUGUCUCGCUUUUAUCUAGGUGGAUGACUAUUGAUCUCUAUAUUAGAGAAGUGGAUAGCCUGAAAUUUGAACUAUCCAUGAAUUGGUGCAGUAAUAGCUUGUCAAAACUGGCACAAGAGAUUCUAGAGCACAGUAUGACAUAUUGCAGUUAUUUUCAGUGGUCAUUAAUAGUGGCUGCGUGGUAUCAUGUGGAGACUACCAAAGCAUAGCUUCCAUUGUUUUUCUUUGACAAUUUCCUUUACAGAAUGCAAUGGUGGUCAUUCUCACUAUCCCAGAAUUGAAAUGUUGGUCAUUUUAACUGAAGAUUGCAUUGGGGCAGGAAUCUGGUAGACAUGCUGAAACACUUGAUGCAAUUACCAAAUAUUUGGAUAUGAGCACAUACAGUGAGUGAGAUGAAGAAAAGAAACUGGAAUUUCUAACAAGAGAGCUCAAAGGAAAAAGGACCGCUAGUCCCAUCUAGCAUGGAGGAAGAGAAAGUCUUGGUUUACCACUAUUGGCCAAAAUCUUAAACUAUGAAGGUGUGCUCCAUGGGUGUUUGCAUGGACUCGAACCAGGAUCUUCUUUUCUGAUAGGAAGAGCUCUACUGGAAUUGGACAUCUUUGGGCAAUUCCAUGGGUGUUUGCAUGGACUCCAACCAGAUUUGUUCUUCCAGCUUGGGUGGAGUUGAACCAGGUUUAAGGGGAGUUUGUGAGAAGGGACACACUGAAGACUUGAAAGCCAUGUACCAAGCUUCUUGAACCCCAAAGACGUUGAUGAAGUCCAAUUAGAGGAAGAGCCUCCAACUCAACUGCUAGACGGGGAAAAUUUUAAAGCUAGCAAGUACUGAAGACAUUCCUAGCAUGACAUGAAAACACGAGACUGUUUUAUUUGAAAUCUUCUGUUAGAAUCAUUAGUAUUCAGAUCUUUGGUUGAUGCCCUACUGACCCAGAAUGUUGAUGGGAAUUCACAUUUUUGACUGCUAGUAUCAUCUGUGGAGCAUAAUUGUUUGCUGUUGUAUCAGAUGAAUUCAAUUCACCAUGCCCUACCGAAGAGAUUUCUGCUUAAAGUUUUCAUUUGGUAGAAGCAGAACUAGUAUAUCUGGAAUGGGAUUAGCAGAGUCUAAUUAUGCUCCACCCUUGUACGAGUUUGUAAUUACUUAGGUCAUUACAUAUUUUUAACAAGUGCUACUGGCCAUUUGUUCUGUUGGAUAGUUUUGGGUGUUUAGGUUUGGAUGAUUAACAGUAACUGCUAUGCCAUCUGUUCUGUUUCAUUUUUAUGCUUUCAUCUUAAAAUUGAGUUGAGCAUAUUCA